This 72-nucleotide transfer RNA is filed under the name Parcubacteria group bacterium CG10_big_fil_rev_8_21_14_0_10_38_31. Its description in RNAcentral is "tRNA-Asn". It matches the Rfam family "tRNA". Rfam says of the family: Transfer RNA (tRNA) molecules are approximately 80 nucleotides in length. Their secondary structure includes four short double-helical elements and three loops (D, anti-codon, and T loops). Further hydrogen bonds mediate the characteristic L-shaped molecular structure. tRNAs have two regions of fundamental functional importance: the anti-codon, which is responsible for specific mRNA codon recognition, and the 3' end, to which the tRNAs corresponding amino acid is attached (by aminoacyl-tRNA synthetases). tRNAs cope with the degeneracy of the genetic code in two manners: having more than one tRNA (with a specific anti-codon) for a particular amino acid; and 'wobble' base-pairing, i.e. permitting non-standard base-pairing at the 3rd anti-codon position. The record is from RNAcentral.
UCCGCGGUAGCUCAGAGGUAGAGCAAGCGACUGUUAAUCGCUUGGUCGCAGGUUCGAUCCCUGCCCGCGGAG